GUCCCCUGCAGCCCCUCCACAACCUGCCAGCAGGGGGCACUGCGCCCACAGCCGUGAAAGCGGCUUGGCGCCUCGGAACGAACUCGGCGCUCCCUCCCUCGCACAGCUCAAACGCCUCUGCCUCCAACUGGGAAGCGAAGCGCGGUCUCUCCAGCAGCUGUGGGGUCCUGAGCAUCGCAUCGCAGCCUCCGCGGGCCAGCUUCUGGGGAGCCCCCAGAGAGAGCGACAGCAGGGAAUUCCCCCAGCUGGACGCUCUUCUGGGCAGCCUGUCCCAGGUCGUGCUGCAGGAGGGCCACCGCCUGAAAGCCUGGGGCGUCCUUGGCACAGGCACUGGGGCGGAGCUGCUACGGCCAGGUGAGCCCUGCUCGGACUCAUCCAGAACCACCCUCUUCCCCGAAGAAACCUGGCCCUGUAUCAGGUGGGAGGAAGGCUAAACCAAGAGGAAAUCCCCAAGGUUGGGAGGGGCUUCCUGUGCAGCGUCCUGGGCAAACGGCUGUGUUACAGAAGAGGGAACCUCCACGAGGGGGACAGCAGAGGAGGAGACAAACAAAACCGCCACAGAGCAUAGCUUUACAUAUAAGGUAGCACUUUCUGAGAGCAAAAGCCUGACUACUGAAUGCGAAAGGUCAGGUUUGGAAAAUGCUGGACUUGCCAGGAAAGAAAGAGGCAGGGAGUAGGAUCCUACAAUUUGAUGAUGUCAGGCUCACAUCCCAAAUGUGGAGCCCUGACCUGGACUCAGCAAAAAAAAACAAACAAACAAAAAAAAGUCUUUCCCAAGCACCUGCUACACCCUCCUACCAGGGUUAGUUUGGUUAGGGGGUCUCCUUCCAGCUCCUUUUAUUCUACCCAGCCAAGGGAGCCCCUGACCUGCCAGAUGUGGCCUCAGACCCAGGGCUAAGCUAGUGUUUGCAUUCCUGCAGCCUCAGCAAGCCCUCCAGGGGAUGCCAAAAACAUCGGUGUGCAUCCUGUCACCAAGCUGAUGGUCCCUGGCCCGGACUGUGUGAUGCUCCCAGCCAGUGGCCAGGCAGGGCCCAUACCCCCGGGCUACUUCAUCCACCCUGACACAGGGCGGGUGCUGCCCGAGGCUGGAAAUCUGGGUUACGAUGUGCAGGAAGCAACCCUGGUGCCCACCACUGACUGCAGUUCUGGUGGCAUCCGAACCUCAGAAGCUGCCAUCCUUCCCUACGUGCCCUACCCGACCUGUCUUGCCACAGGCUCCCUGCCAGCCACCCACCUGCCUGUCCUGCAGCCGAGAAGGACGUCACAGUCAGGGGCUCUCAUGACAGACCCCAUAACGGGCAUCGAGGUGCCCGUGCUGGCUGUGACUCUGCACCCUCAAACAAGGCAGUGGCUCACUCUUGGGGGGGCGUACCGCAAUCCACUCACCCAGACCCUGGCCCCUCUGGAGCUGGGGGGCCCCAUGGAGGAUCCGGUCACAGGAGGCAUCUCACCGAUCCUGGGAGUCGGGUUGGAUGAAAACACAGGUCUGCUGGUAGCCCGCGUGCCUUCCUUCUGCCCUUCCUCCCUCUGGUCUGGCUUCCCAAGCCCCUCCCCUCAGCACCCCAGACCCUCCACAUUCUGGUCCAGUCUGCAGCCUCCACCCGAAGCCUGCCCAUAUUUCCACCCUUCAUGCUCUGGCUGCCUUUCCUCUCCUUCCCGGUUUCCCUCGCCCUCAUCUUCAGCACAGUGCCCCCCGCCUCGCCCAGGGUGGGAGGCAGGGGUGAGAACUGAGCUGCUUCUGCAGCAAAAGCAUAUGGAUGGUUUUCUAUCAGGAAAGACAUUCCUUCUCCCCCCUGCCCUCCCUCACCCCAGACUCUGCCCCAUCCCCCGACCUCCACCCCCAUCCUGUCACUCACUCUGUCCUGGCCACCCCCCCCCCCCACCGCCGGUUCUCUCUUGCCUCACCCACCUCUAUCCCUUCCCGCAUCCCCCUCUCUCUGGUUCUUGCCUCCAGGCCAGGUGCUUGCACUGGGAGGACUUCGAGAUGCCUCGGGGAACCUCCUGCUGCCUGGUGACAGCUUUGUGGAGCCACUGA
RNAcentral lists this long non-coding RNA (2035 nucleotides) under Capra hircus (goat). RNAcentral describes it as "lncRNA (ENSCHIG00000002062.1)". The record is from RNAcentral. Lineage: Eukaryota; Metazoa; Chordata; Mammalia; Artiodactyla; Bovidae.